Molecule: long non-coding RNA, 1344 nt
Organism: Frankliniella occidentalis (western flower thrips)
Lineage: Eukaryota; Metazoa; Arthropoda; Insecta; Thysanoptera; Thripidae
Exons: 3
Source: RefSeq, a predicted model, not a curated record
AGGGGGCUACGAAAUACAGUUUGACAAUGUUUCCUUUAGAUAUGAAUGAAGUACAUAAAGUAAAAGACAAAACGUUUGUGAGACUACUACGCCUUUGAGAGAGGCUAAUAAAAGUAGCAAAUCGAACUGAUAGAUGAAUCGGCGACUGACUAGUCAGAAUUUAGACAGAAAUAGACUCACUUUGACAGUCAAAAAAGUUAAAUAAAAUUGGAAAGUGAGUGAUGAAAUAGGCAGCGAUAAAAUAGGAAAGCAAGUUUAUCAACAAAGCAGUUCAACUGUCGAUAGCAACAACUUAUCCUGCCUCAACAGCUGAAGUUGACUAUUGACAGGUAGACAAAUGAAUGAAAUUGGCAUAAGAAGACAUUAUUGCCUGUGUGUUUACAUUAAGUAAGUAAUAACCAUUUGAACAUAUUGCAUUUAGCAUUGAAUGUUUACAAAAUUUUAAAACCGAAGUAACAAUUACAGAAGUCUUACCAGCUGGAGGAAGACAGCUCAAAGAUCCUUUGGCAGUCAUUAUUUUAUAUAAAAGAAAGAAAUGCCGGCAUCAGCAUUAAGAUUACAAAUUGAGGAAAUGUCUGAAUACAUUGUACAUACGAGUACUGGCAAGGUGCAAAAACCUAUUUGGAGUAAGAUGACCUGCCAUCAGGUCAUGUGAGAUGUUAAUGAUGUAGACAUCAUUAUUAAUGGCAGAUGCCCUACGUGGCCUACCAGGAUUGAUGUGUCCGUGAAGACUCACCAAAUCCAAAUAGCUGUUGGUUUCCAUGGAUCGGAUGGCUUCUGCAAAAUAAAUCAAGUUGACUCAGAGACAUUAUUUGUGCGGUGCUCUGCUAAGAAUACCGACAACAUUUGGAAACGAAAACCUGCCAGCCAAGUUUCAUGAACCUUCAGGAAGAACUGAUGAAGGAGCGCAUAAAUGCCAAGAUCGGUAGCCUCAUAUGCUAGGCUCAUGAAUCCUUCUUCGAUCAUGUGGUUGGGGAGCAAAGGUAGAGCUAGGAGGCUCCUGACAAUUGAGUGAGCCCUAUCAUUGUAGCCUAGAAAAUUUGUGAGGCCCAUAGUCCGGCUGAGAAUGGUGACAGCCUGAAAUCAACAGGUUUUACACCUCAGCAUCGCAUCAGAAAUAAUGAAGAAUAUUUGGACCACUUACUCUGGAGAAAUGCCAAUAGCACCCUUGAACAAUCACAUCGUAGACCUCAACCCAUGCCUGCAUCUGUGAGCAUUCAAAGUCUGUGACCACAAUACGAGGACGGAACGUAGGUGCCGCUUCUCUGAUGGCCUCCAACACUGCUACAUAUGCAAUGCGAGUCCUUGUCUGCAUAAGGACCUGGCAAAGCGGUACAACCUAUA